CCUACGGGUGGCAGCAGUGGGGAAUAUUGCACAAUGGGGGAAACCCUGAUGCAGCCACGCCGCGUGGAUGAAGAAGGCUUUCGGGUUGUAAAGUACUUUUAGUGGGGAGGAAAAUAGUAAAGUUAAUACCAUAAGCCAUUGACACUACCCUCACAAGAAGCACCGGCUAACUCAGUGCGAGCAGCCUCGGUAAUACCGAGGGUGCAAGAGUUAAUCGGAAUGACUGGGCGUAAAGAGAGCGAAGGCGGUUUGGUAAGUCAGAUGUGAAAUCCCCGGGCUCAACCUGGGAACGGCAUGUGAUACUGGCAGACUAGAGUAUGGGAGAGGGAGGUGGAAUUCCAGGUGUAGCGGUGAAAUGCGUAGAGAUCGAGAGGAAUACUGGUGGCGAAGGCGGCCUCCUGGACGAAAACUGACGCUGAGGCGCGAAAGCGUGGGGAGCAAACAGGAUUAGAUACCCGGGUAGUC
RNAcentral lists this ribosomal RNA (465 nucleotides) under uncultured bacterium. Its description in RNAcentral is "partial 16S ribosomal RNA". It matches the Rfam family "Bacterial small subunit ribosomal RNA", at positions 338 to 795 of the family's 1533-position model. The record is from RNAcentral.